Fukomys damarensis (Damara mole-rat) is the source of this 108-nucleotide small nuclear RNA. Lineage: Eukaryota; Metazoa; Chordata; Mammalia; Rodentia; Bathyergidae. The record is from Ensembl.
GUGUUAACUUUGGCAGCAGAUAUACUAAAAUUGGAGCAAUACGAAGACAAUGAGCAUGGUCUCUGCACAAGGAAAACAUGCAGCUUUGAAGCAGUAGAUUUAAAUCUA